Pundamilia nyererei is the source of this 1105-nucleotide long non-coding RNA. RefSeq lists it as uncharacterized. The record is from RefSeq and is a predicted model, not a curated record. NCBI's taxonomy places the organism in Eukaryota, Metazoa, Chordata, Actinopteri, Cichliformes, Cichlidae. The transcript has 3 exons.
UGUCUGUCACACAGACCUAGAGACCAUUUGGGAACCACUGGUCGUGAGAGGAAAGAUGUGUAUGCCCUGACUGCGAGUGAUUGCUGGAGCCACAUUCACGCAGGCCUAGACACUGAUCAGUGACCCUCUGACAACCACUGGAUGCUGGCUUGGCUACAAACAUUAGCAAACUAUCUACCAACUACCCACUUUUCCCAGUUUCAACAGCUCGGAGAGGUCAUUGAGCUCAGCCAGGCCCUGAGCAGAGCCAAUAAUGGCCACUGGAUAUAUCUGUAAUGAAGAUGUGUUGAACAGAGCAAAGCAUCCAGCGCUAGGGCUGAUGGUUACUGUGGCAACCAUAUAACUCAAGAAGAAAGUGGCAAGAGGAGACGGCCAUUUUGGGUAUGAUUAAAUAGCUCCAGUAGCCGCUGGUCUUGCAUAAUCUUCAGGCAGUAACCUGGACUCCGAAAACCCACAACAGCAGGCAUAACGACCUGAUUCAUGGCCGACACAUCCUCUCUAUCCCUCCAGUUUCUCAGUCCCUCCUUCCAUCCCCCAACAUCUGCAGCAGUGGGCUGCUCCUUUUGUUUUGCUUAGUGACGUCCUGUGGGCUAUUUAUAGAGUCAUGUGUUAUUGUGUAAGAUCUAUUGAAAGGCCCAAAGAGCAUGUGCAGGCAUGUUCCCUAUGGUGGCCCCAACUUCUGCAAGAGGAAAGAUAGAAAAGCGUGUAGCUCUAAUAUCAAUGAGUUGGAGAAGGAAUCAGUUUAUAGAAUAAGCUCUAUGAUUAUCUUACAUUUGACCUCAGUACUAUUUUACUUUCCACCAUGCUUUAAUUAUAACGUUCAGACUUCAGUUUGAGAUCUUGGUGAUCAGUUUUAGAGCUCUGCAUGGUCAAAUGUCAGCUUACAAUAGUGAACUCGUGCACCCAUAUGUAACAUGCAGGUCUUGUUGGUGGUUCCUCAUACUACAGCGAAAACUAAAAUAAACAAUGGAAUCCAUUACCAUUACGUUUGAGAUCAAUGGACUCUAUUGAAACUUUUAAAGAGCAGUUUAGUACUAAUUUGUAUAGGCGUACUAAUUGUUCUUGUGAAGCAUAUCCUUUUCUAGAAAGAUGCAAAAUAAAUCAA